RNAcentral lists this ribosomal RNA (245 nucleotides) under uncultured bacterium. RNAcentral describes it as "partial 16S ribosomal RNA". It matches the Rfam family "Bacterial small subunit ribosomal RNA", at positions 524 to 768 of the family's 1533-position model. The record is from RNAcentral.
UACGAAGGUGGCAAGCGUUACUCGGAAUUACUAGGCGUAAAGGGCAGGUAGGUGGUUCGGUAAGUCUGUUGUGUAAGCUCCCGGCUUAACUGGGAGAGGUCAACGGAAACUGCCGGGCUUGAGUAUAGGAGAGGGUACUGGAAUUCCCGGUGUAGCGGUGAAAUGCGCAGAGAUCGGGAGGAACACCAAUGGCGAAAGCAGGUACCUGGACUAUUACUGACACUCAGCUGCGAAAGCUAGGGGAG